RNAcentral lists this transfer RNA (70 nucleotides) under candidate division WWE3 bacterium CG_4_10_14_0_2_um_filter_47_8. Its description in RNAcentral is "tRNA-Gln". It matches the Rfam family "tRNA". Rfam says of the family: Transfer RNA (tRNA) molecules are approximately 80 nucleotides in length. Their secondary structure includes four short double-helical elements and three loops (D, anti-codon, and T loops). The record is from RNAcentral. Lineage: Bacteria; candidate division WWE3.
AGGUAGUGUAACGGUAACACACCGGGCUCUGAACCCGUUAAUCUAGGUUCGAAUCCUAGCCUCCCAGCCA